GCCGGCUGGCAGGUUAUUAAGCGCAUAUGCGGUCUGCAGGGUUGUGCUCAAAGCUACAGCCGACGCUGCGGCAGCCGUAGCGAUAGCUGCAACAAUUGCAGCCGUGAUUUUAAAGUUCUUGCGAGUCUUGAACAAUGUUAAGGAAUUAGGAGCGUCUACAGGAACAGGAAUAAUGUCUGGGUAAACGAGCAACAGCAACAGGAUGCGAAGAGGCAUUCUAACACAACGUACAGUUACAAGUGGAUGAUGUACAAUUAAGCAGUGAAGUAGCAGGUGUCUCAGAUAAAUUCUGACCGAAAAAAAGGCCAUCUCCUCUGUCCUCUGCGUCUUUUCUCCCUUCUCUCCCUUUUCUCCUCCUUUCUUUCUCUCCCCUUUCUCCUCCUUUCUUUCUCUCCCCUUUCUCCUCCUUUCUUUCUCUCCCCUUUCUCCUUUCUUUCUUUCUCUCCCCUUUCUCCUUUCUUUCUCUCUCUUUUCUCCUUUCUUUCUUUCUCUCCCCUAUCUCCUUUCUUUCUUUCUCUCCCUUUUCUUCUGGCGGCUCUCGCUCUGGCGGCUCUCGCUCUGGCGGCUCUCGCUCUGGCGGCUCUCGCUCUGGCGGCUCUCGCUCUGGCGGCUCUCGCUCUGGCUCUGGCGGCUCUCGCUCUGGCUCUGGCGGCUCUCGCUCUGAGCUUAUGGAAGCAGGGGAGUUUUGGCCGUCCCACACGUCAGUUCUGAACUCUACCUCUUCUGAGGUCGUCUUCCGCUGGUGCCUCAAAGUUGUUUCGAGUCCCGGGUUUCGGCACCACUUGUCGCGCCCGCCUCGCCAGCAAGGAAGACGCGGCAACAGGAGUUCUUUUGACAGUGCUUUAAUGGGGUUCCCUUUAGACUUACAUGAUGCGGAAGACCCUGAGCACAAGCUCUCACACACUUAUAUACUCUAAGGAAGGGGGGAAGUGAUGGGGAUAGGUUAAAAGCGCGUGAGGGUUACUACUGAUAGGCCAAGCUAAGAUCUUUCAUAUGCAUACUUAAUGAGACAGGAAAAGCCCCUACACCUGCGCAGUUCACCCUGUUUAUCAGUCUUGUAGUAUCGGCGUGACCAGGAAGCCGGCGCCAUCUUGCAAUGGCGUUAACACCGCGCCCCACAAAG
This is a long non-coding RNA of Microcebus murinus (gray mouse lemur), 1123 nucleotides long. The record is from Ensembl. Lineage: Eukaryota; Metazoa; Chordata; Mammalia; Primates; Cheirogaleidae.